AUUUAUAUAAUAUAAAAAUUAUAUUUAACUUCCAAUUAAAAAAUCUAAUAAUCUAGUGUAAAUA
Molecule: transfer RNA, 64 nt
Filed under: Spiniphilus spinicornis
Lineage: Eukaryota; Metazoa; Arthropoda; Insecta; Coleoptera; Vesperidae
Description: tRNA-Gly
Source: RNAcentral